GUGAGUCAUCGAAUCUUUGAACGCACAUUGCGCCCCUUGGUUAUUCCGAAGGGCAUGCCUGUUCGAGCGUCAUUAUCACCCCUCAAGCCCCGGCUUGAUGUUGGACUUUAGUUAUAGCGUUGUCUAUCAACUGGUCUCAAAGAUAGUGACGGCGCCCCAGAGGGAACCGGGUACGAGGAGCUUUUUACGAAGCAUGUGCCUGGGAGGACUCUGAUGGGCGACGGUCUUGUUAUACUUUUUACCUAAGUGUUGACCUCAAAUCAGGUAGGACUACCCGCUGAACUUAAGCAUAUCAAUAAG
This 300-nucleotide unclassified non-coding RNA is filed under the name uncultured Ascomycota. RNAcentral's name for it is "sequence contains 5.8S rRNA gene, ITS2". The stretch from base 1 to 72 matches the Rfam family "5.8S ribosomal RNA", at positions 84 to 154 of the family's 154-position model. Lineage: Eukaryota; Fungi; Ascomycota. The record is from RNAcentral.